Molecule: RNA transcript, 3586 nt
Organism: Acinonyx jubatus (cheetah)
Lineage: Eukaryota; Metazoa; Chordata; Mammalia; Carnivora; Felidae
Gene: PPIL2
Gene name: peptidylprolyl isomerase like 2
Exons: 22
Source: RefSeq, a predicted model, not a curated record
AGGAAUCUGGAGUGCUGGCCAUUUAAUGAUGUGAGUCAAGAGAUAUGAGUGGUAUUUAAAGCCACAAGCCUGGGAAAGAUCACCAGGUGCUUGUGUGUAGACGGAGGCCCGGGGCUUAGGCUGGGGCACACAAACAGUGAUCUGGCCGCGGGAAGGGUCCGUAAGAGAGAUGAGUGAGGGCUUUGGACUCUCGGGCUUAAUGGCUACUUGCCCCUAAGCCUCCCAGGAGAGGGCUGGAGGUGGUGGGGACUGAAUGGGAGAAUGGGUAGACAGCGAAUGUGGACGUAGGUUUGGAGACGUCUGCCGUGGAAGGAAGCAGAGAUGAGACAGAGGCUGGUGAGACUUAAGGUGGACUUUUAAAAAAAUCUGAGAAACCAGGUCAAACCAGGGCAGGCUUGAGCGGGGGGAUGGAAAGGAGAAAAGGUCUAGAGAGAGCCUUCUCUGUUCGCCUGAGGAAGUGGGGCUUCGAGGUCCCCCGGCCCCCAGCAGGAGGCAAACCCUACCACAGACUGCCCAGGUGCCCAAGGACUGGGGUGCACCGACUGGGCAUGCGCACUUGGCAUCAGGCGCCGCUGUUCGCGCAUGCCCUGCGCCCACUUCCGGGGCGGGUCCCGGAAGUCGUUAGGGAACUCGGCCGAGAAGUCGGCUUCUAAAUCGUUUGCUGUCGUUUUUCCUCACUCGCUGGUCCUGGCACUGCUACCGCUCCCGCCGCCAUGGGGAAACGGCAGCAUCAGAAGGACAAGAUGUACAUUACCUGUGCUGAAUACACUCACUUCUAUGGUGGCAAGAAACCAGAUAUCCCACAAGCAAAUUUUCGUCGCUUACCUUUUGAUCACUGCAGUCUCUCUCUGCAGCCCUUUGUCUACCCAGUCUGCACCCCCGAAGGAGUCGUCUUUGACUUGCUUAACAUCGUCCCUUGGCUUAAGAAGUAUGGGACCAACCCCAGCAAUGGAGAGAAGCUGGAUGGGAGGUCCCUGAUCAAGCUGAACUUUGCAAAGAACAACGAAGGAAAGUACCACUGCCCAGUGCUAUUCACCGUGUUCACCAACAACACCCACAUCGUAGCUGUCAAGACCACGGGCAAUGUCUAUACCUAUGAGGCAGUGGAGCAACUAAAUAUCAAGGCCAAGAACUUCCGAGACCUGCUGACAGACGAGCCCUUCUCUCGGCAGGACAUCAUCACCCUCCAGGACCCCACCAAUUUGGACAAAUUCAAUGUCUCCAACUUCUUUCAUGUGAAGAAUAACAUAAAAAUAACAGAUCCUGAUGAAGAAAAGGCCAAACAGGACCCAUCUUAUUAUUUGAAAAAUACAAACGCCGAGACCCGAGAGACGCUGCAGGAGCUCUACAAAGAGUUCAAAGGGGACGAGGUUCUGGCUGCCACCAUGAAAGUCCCAGAGAAGAAGAAAGUGGACAAGCUGAAUGCUGCGCACUAUUCCACUGGCAAGGUCAGCGCCUCCUUCACCUCCACUGCCAUGGUUCCAGAGACUACGCACGAAGCAGCUGCCAUCGAUGAGGAUGUGCUGCGCUACCAGUUUGUGAAGAAGAAGGGCUAUGUGCGGCUGCACACCAACAAGGGCGACCUCAACCUGGAGCUGCACUGCGACAUGACACCAAAAACCUGUGAAAACUUCAUCAAACUCUGCAAGAAGCAGUAUUACGAUGGCACCAUCUUCCACAGAUCCAUCAGGAACUUUGUGAUCCAGGGGGGAGACCCCACUGGCACAGGCACAGGUGGGGAGUCAUACUGGGGAAAGCCCUUCAAAGAUGAAUUCCGGCCCAACCUCUCGCACACGGGCCGGGGUAUCCUCAGCAUGGCCAACUCGGGACCCAACACCAACAAGUCUCAAUUCUUUAUCACCUUCCGCUCCUGCGCAUACCUUGACAAGAAGCACACUAUCUUCGGGCGGGUUGUCGGGGGCUUUGACACACUGACAGCCAUGGAGAACGUGGAGAGUGACCCCAAAACUGACCGCCCUAAGGAGGAGAUCCGCAUUGACUCCACCACGGUGUUUGUGGACCCCUACGAGGAGGCUGACGCUCAGAUUGCUGAGGAGCGGAAGAAGACGCAGCUCGAGGAGGUGGCCCCAGAAAGCACAGUGAAAACAAGCCAGCCCAAGCCGGGGAGCCAGGGCCCCCAGACGUACCGCCAGGGGGUGGGCAAGUACAUCAACCCGGCAGCCACGAAACGUGUAGCAGAGGAAGAGCCCUCAACCAGUGCAGUUGUCCCUGUAGCCAAGAAAAAACCCAGCCGAGGUUUUGGGGACUUCAGCUCAUGGUAGCAGCAGCCUGUGCCAGCCUGGUUUCCAUGCUUCUGACCUUGACACGGCUACCUCGGCCUUCCCAAAGUGCCUCUGCAGAAGGGUGGGGACAGCUGCCGCCUCCCACUGUCUGUCUCCUUUGGCCCCAAGACUGUCCACUCCUCACACCCACUCCUAAGGCCUAUGGUCUAAAGGUCAUAUCUGUGUCACCCGCCUAAAGCUCAUCAGCCUGUGGUCAUCCUGCUUCAGGCCUGCCACCAGCUUUCCUCUGUGCUGAGAACAAGGCUGAGCCCCACAGGCACCCUGUGCCUCUGCAAUCCCUUGCCUGUGACCAUAGCUGGAACCAGGGACCUGGGCUCUAGGGAGUGACCUCUCAGCCUCUGCCUUUGGCCCUCAUCCCUCUUCAUGACCUCACCACUACCCUCCCAAUUAUUGAAGGGCUUACACUCCAGUGUUUGUGCCUGAAAUGUAUCCCAAGAGUCUGGUUCACCCAGGAGGAGAGGGCUGGAUGCAGUGACAGCCAUGUAAACGCACUUAUAGGCCACUGACUAGUCGCUCGUGGACUCCGGGUACGUGGGGGUGAAGAGGGAGUCCCAGAGGGCUCCUAACCCCUCAGCGUUCAGGAGGGGGUGAGCUCAAGUUAGGUGUUCUCGGGCUACGUGCACAAGCCCAACUGGUAGGAGCCCGGUGACACAGAGCUCUAGGAGACAGUGGGCCGCAUGGCCCCACAUGGGACCGGAGCCGCAGCAGGGAAAGCUCUGUUGCCUUAUGCCUGGACUCACUGAGGCCCGCCCAGCAAGGACCAUGGGUAGUCACAGCCACAUUCCCCUGUGGCCCACACCCAGGACUACCUGCCUCUCCACCUCAAGGAACAGGAGGACCCCACAUGGGAGAAGCCAUGGACAAUGAGAACUGUGGGAAUCCAGGGCCCCCAGUGCCCACAACAGGAGGUGCUACUGGGAAGGACACAUCUGACAUUGGAAGCUUUAUUUUUGAACCUCACACGGACACAGAGGACAGAGGGCUGGACGCAGAGGCUGAAGGAGGCUUGUGCACGUGAGCUUGACAGUCCUGCUCCAAGGGGCAAACCUUCGGGCUGUUGUCCAUUGGUCCGUCCCUCCAGCUGCACCCAGUGACCACAUGCACCUGGCCCAAGGCAUGGCCAGGCCACUCUGGCUGCAGAUCCACCCAAGAGCCUUUGACAAAUGAGGGUUUACAUUUCUGUAGGUCAUUUUGGAACUUAGUUUUCUAGGUAUUAAAACCACUUGGAUUUUUUAAGUACCUGGUGAAGUCAUCAGGUAAAUUAAAGGACUUUUGAAAAAAGA